UCAAGUGAACAAGCGCAUAUGGUGGAUGCCUAGGCGGUAGGAGGCGACGAAGGGCGUAGUAGCCUGCGAAAAGCCACGGGGAGCCGGCAAACAGGCAUUGAUCCGUGGAUACCCGAAUGGGGAAACCCAGCCACCGUGAGGUGGUUAUCCGACACUGAAUCCAUAGGUGACGGAAGCGAACCCGGAGAACUGAAACAUCUAAGUACCCGGAGGAAAAGAGAUCAACCGACAUUCCCUCAGUAGCGGCGAGCGAACGGGGAGGAGCCCAAAAGCGACAUUGGUUUUAGUGGAACGGACUGGAAAGUCCGGCCAUAGCGGGUGAUAGCCCCGUACACGAAAGGGCCAGCGUCGUGAAAGUGAGUAAGGCGGGACACGUGUUAUCCUGUCUGAAGAUGGGGGGACCAUCCUCCAAGGCUAAAUACUACCUACCGACCGAUAGUGAACCAGUACCGUGAGGGAAAGGCGAAAAGAACCCCGGUGAGGGGAGUGAAAUAGAACCUGAAACCGUAUGCGUACAAGCAGUGGGAGCCCCUUUAGGGGUGACUGCGUACCUUUUGUAUAAUGGGUCAGCGACUUACAUCUCAGUGGCGAGCUUAACCAGAUAGGGGAGGCGUAGCGAAAGCGAGUCUUAACAGGGCGAAUUAGUCGCUGGGAGUAGACCCGAAACCGGGCGAUCUACCCAUGGCCAGGGUGAAGGCGUGGUAAUGCGCGCUGGAGGCCCGAACCGGGAGCUGUUGAAAAAGCUUCGGAUGAGCUGUGGGUAGGAGUGAAAGGCUAAUCAAGCCCGGAGAUAGCUGGUUCUCCCCGAAAGCUAUUUAGGUAGUGCCUUGCGUCUCACUCUCGGGGGUAGAGCACUGUUUCGGCUAGGGGGCCAUCCCGGCUUACCAAACCGAGGCAAACUCCGAAUACCGGGAAGUGCAAUCGCGGGAGACAGACGGCGGGUGCUAACGUCCGUCGUCGAGAGGGAAACAACCCAGACCGUCGGCUAAGGUCCCUAAAUUGCGGCUUAGUGGGAAACGAUGUGGGAAGGCAUAGACAGCCAGGAGGUUGGCUUAGAAGCAGCCAUCCUUUAAAGAAAGCGUAAUAGCUCACUGGUCGAGUCGGCCUGCGCGGAAGAUUCAACGGGGCUCAAGCCAUGUACCGAAGCUGCGGAUGCGUCGCAAGACGCAUGGUAGGGGAGCGUUCCGUAGGCCUGCGAAGGUGUGCUGUAAGGCAUGCUGGAGGUAUCGGAAGUGCGAAUGCUGACAUGAGUAACGAUAAUGGGGGUGAGAAGCCCCCACGCCGAAAGCCCAAGGUUUCCUGCGCAACGUUAAUCGGCGCAGGGUUAGUCGGCCCCUAAGGCGAGGCCGAAAGGCGUAGUCGAUGGGAAGCAGGUUAAUAUUCCUGCACCAACUGUUACUGCGAUGGGGGGACGGAGAAGGCUAGGUCAUCCGGGCGAUGGUUGUCCCGGUAUAAGCGUGUAGGGAGGCGCUCCAGGCAAAUCCGGAGCGUCAAUUCCGAGACGUGAUGUCGAGUCUCCACGGAGACGAAGUGAUUGAUGCCAAGCUUCCAGGAAAAGCCUCUAAGCUUCAGGUAACAGGUGACCGUACCCCAAACCGACACAGGUGGGCUGGGAGAGAAUCCCAAGGCGCUUGAGAGAACUCGGGUGAAGGAACUAGGCAAAAUAGUACCGUAACUUCGGGAGAAGGUACGCCCCUGGUAGGUGAAGGUCCAGGCGACCGGAGCUGACGGGGGUUGCAGUGACCAGGUGGCUGCGACUGUUUAUCAAAAACACAGCACUCUGCAAACACAAACGUGGAAGUAUAGGGUGUGACGCCUGCCCGGUGCCGGAAGGUUAAUUGAUGGGGUCAGCCGCAAGGCGAAGCUCUUGAUCGAAGCCCCGGUAAACGGCGGCCGUAACUAUAACGGUCCUAAGGUAGCGAAAUUCCUUGUCGG
This 1935-nucleotide ribosomal RNA is filed under the name hot springs metagenome. RNAcentral describes it as "bacterial LSU rRNA". It matches the Rfam family "Bacterial large subunit ribosomal RNA", at positions 3 to 1975 of the family's 2925-position model. The record is from RNAcentral.